AUUGAACGCUGGCGGCAUGCUUUACACAUGCCAGUCGAACGGCAGCGCGGGCUUCGGCCUGGCGGCGAGUGGCGAACGGGUGAGUAAUGCAUCGGAACGUGCCCAGUAGUGGGGGAUAGCCCGGCGAAAGCCGGAUUAAUACCGCAUACGACCUGAGGGUGAAAGCGGGGGACCGAAAGGCCUCGCGCUAUUGGAGCGGCCGAUGUCGGAUUAGCUAGUUGGUGGGGUAAAGGCUUACCAAGGCGACGAUCCGUAGCUGGUCUGAGAGGACGACCAGCCACAGGGGGACUGAGACGCGGCCCAGACUCCUACGGGAGGCAGCAGUGGGGAAUUUUGGACAAGGGGGGCAAGCCUGACCCAGCCAUGCCGCGUGGGGGAAGAAGGCCUUCGGGUUGUAAAGCGGUUUUGUUGGGAAAAAAAACCUGGGGGUUAAUACCCCGGGGGGAUGACGGUACCGAAAAAAUAAGCACCGGCAAACUACGUG
This 484-nucleotide ribosomal RNA is filed under the name uncultured bacterium. Its description in RNAcentral is "partial 16S ribosomal RNA". It matches the Rfam family "Bacterial small subunit ribosomal RNA", at positions 29 to 507 of the family's 1533-position model. The record is from RNAcentral.